Molecule: long non-coding RNA, 877 nt
Filed under: Salmo salar (Atlantic salmon)
Lineage: Eukaryota; Metazoa; Chordata; Actinopteri; Salmoniformes; Salmonidae
Description: lncRNA (ENSSSAG00000094193.1)
Source: RNAcentral
AAAAACACUUUCAAACCCCCUCUCAAAAGGUUCUCGACAAAGAACAAAAACCUUCGCAUACUUAGUGGUUGCCAUGGCACGGCCUCACAAUGUUUUUUACAUCAUAGAGGGUGUUACUACAUUCCAUACAUUCUUAAGAGAUCAGAGGGAUAUUUUGGCGUGUAAUAUGGGCUCCACCUCAUGAAGCUGAUGUAUGGAACCACUAUCCACAAUGCUGGGAUAUCUGGCACUCCCUGAUUAAGGAAGUGGUGGAGGAGAGCAUUCCCUGCAGGACACAGGAAAGGAAGAGGCCGUCCACAGCCAGGCAACACAGGCAUGAAUACUCCAGGAAGAAGCAUGUGUUUAGGGUGUGCCACAGUCCGUGGACCCAGAACCCUUCAUCCAUAACCCAUCCUUCCUGCUCCCCCUGUGCUCUGCUAGACUUCCGGGUCCAGCCCCAGAGCAACCCUGCAAGGCCACUCACCGCCCUGUGUAGGAGGAAUGAUGUUCCUUGGCCCUCAGCCCCCCUGCGCCUCCCCCCUCCAGCAGUACCGCACUGCAGCUACACUCCACAACAGGGUUCUCACUGCUUAGAUGCAUGAAAGUCAAAGAGGUAGCUACUGCUGCACAGGCACAUGACUGUCCAGGGACUACGGACAUGAGACUGAAACCACCUUGGGCAAGCAGCAGAAACAGAGCCCCACUCUAAUCUUCAUCUGUCCUCCUACAGUUUCAUUAUAUCUAUUUUACAGAAGAUCCUCUGUACUGUCAGCUUUGGCAUCUAUUGGUUGCCUGUUUAAAUACAUUGUACAUGGUUAAAUGGUCACAAAUGUCAACAUUACUCAAUUGGAUAAAAUAAAAAAAACAUAUAAAAAAAUUCAAAAAUUAAAUAGGCAGG